Molecule: long non-coding RNA, 666 nt
Organism: Bombus terrestris (buff-tailed bumblebee)
Lineage: Eukaryota; Metazoa; Arthropoda; Insecta; Hymenoptera; Apidae
Exons: 2
Source: RefSeq, a predicted model, not a curated record
CACCCACGGUGGAUGGUAUAUCAACCCAGCUUCUUCUACUUGUUGACUAAUAGCAGCUUCCAACUCUGGAUAAGAAGUCUUUUCAAGAGCUUGAUUUGGAAACAGAUCAGCCACCAAUGAUAUAAAUAAUGGUAGUAAUAGCAGAUAUUCUUAGUAUAGUAAUAAGUAUAAUUAUGUACCUAUGAGCUUCGAAAGAUUCAUAUCUCUUAAAACACGCAUAACGAUCGUGCUUUCAGAAUCUUUGGAGUUUACCCUUUUCGACGCUCCUAAUGUUCUUAAUACGGACAAUAUGUUUCUUAGACCAAAGUCGUAAUGGACCUUCAUAAAUGAACAGGAUGUUUAUUGAAAUUACAAUUUAAUUAUUGUGUUUUUAAAUAUAUUACCUGUUUUGUAAGUUGUUCUUCGCACAAUUUGUACAAAGUGUAAAAUUUCCGAGCAAGCGUGAUGUUUUCCAGGAAACCACAACUAGCUAGUUUUACUCGAAUAAUGAUUUGUCUAUCAGGUACCAUCAUAGCGACGGUGCGGAACUGUAUCUUUAGAUUCUCUGGAAGUUCUUUUCUACCGGCAUAUCCAGGAUUCUGUAACGUAAUUCUUAUCUUAUAAUUCUAACUUUUACAUCACAUACAAAGUUUCCUGCAAGAAAAUAACUUUACAUUACAGUAUUAA